This is a long non-coding RNA of Oreochromis aureus, 701 nucleotides long. The record is from Ensembl. Lineage: Eukaryota; Metazoa; Chordata; Actinopteri; Cichliformes; Cichlidae.
GGCAGGUCUGUGUCAUGUCCAAGAGACUCCACCCUUUUCCCGUUUUACUAAUUUGACACACCUGAGAGGAAAGAAGCAGUGGUAAUUUACAGAGUGCUCAGUGACACAUAAGAAUGGUGGAGCUUGGCGUCAGGAGGCAGAAAGAUACAGCGCCAGCGACGUGGGGCGAGUGGUCGAACUGCUGCAGCAACGGGAGGAUACAGCGCCAGCAAGCAGGGACGCGGAGCGAGCGGUCCGACUGCUGCAGCAACAGGAGGCCAGAGUACACGUCUGCGGGGAAUUAGAGGCGGCGAGGCGGGCCGGUGCCGAUUGGCGGUUUACAAAGAAGCGGCGGGUAGAAUUAUGAGCUCUUCCCACCCGGGGUAAGUCUUUUGACUUGUCCCCUUAAUGAAUGAAAGCCGCCUAAAAAGAGUAGUGACUGCCGCUGCCUUUCUGUUUUUAGCGCACCGGGGUGGAGACGAAGGCGAGGAUGCCGCCGGGUUUCCCUUCUGCACUGCUUCACUGGAUUUUAAUUCUUAGUGACGGACGUCACUGGACUUUUAACGUUUUUUUUUUAUUGAUUUUUAUUGUGUCGCUCCCUGGCCAGGGUUGUUUUAAUUCGUUUUAUAUUUUUAACGGUUUAAUUAUAAUAAAUUAUAUUUUAGUCUUACAGUUUUAAAUUUGUGCUCAUUCCCUUGGCUGCCCCACUGCUCUGUCCGUUU